UACGGGGGGGGCAAGCGUUGUUCGGAAUUACUGGGCGUAAAGGGCUCGUAGGCGGCCAACUAAGUCGGACGUGAAAUCCCCAGGCUCAACCUGGGAACUGCGUCCGAUACUGGAUGGCUUGAAUCCGGGAGAGGGAUGCGGAAUUCCAGGUGUAGCGGUGAAAUGCGUAGAUAUCUGGAGGAACACCGGUGGCGAAGGCGGCAUCCUGGACCGGUAUUGACGCUGAGGCGCGAAAGCCAGGGGAGCAAACGGG
Molecule: ribosomal RNA, 253 nt
Filed under: uncultured bacterium
Lineage: Bacteria
Description: partial 16S ribosomal RNA
Rfam family: Bacterial small subunit ribosomal RNA
Source: RNAcentral